GAUGAACGCUGGCGGCGUGCUUAACACAUGCAAGUCGAACGAAGCAUUUAGAACAGAUUACUUCGGUUUGAAGUUCUUUAUGACUGAGUGGCGGACGGGUGAGUAACGCGUGGGUAACCUGCCUUGUACUGGGGGAUAGCAGCUGGAAACGGCUGGUAAUACCGCAUAAGCGCACAAUGUUGCAUGACAUGGUGUGAAAAACUCCGGUGGUAUAAGAUGGACCCGCGUCUGAUUAGCUAGUUGGUGAGAUAACAGCCCACCAAGGCGACGAUCAGUAGCCGACCUGAGAGGGUGACCGGUCACAUUGGGACUGAGACACGGCCCAGACUCCUACGGGAGGCAGCAGUGGGGAAUAUUGCACAAUGGAGGAAACUCUGAUGCAGCGACGCCGCGUGAGUGAAGAAGUAAUUCGUUAUGUAAAGCUCUAUCAGCAGGGAAGAUAGUGACGGUACCUGACUAAGAAGCUCCGGCUAAAUACGUG
RNAcentral lists this ribosomal RNA (481 nucleotides) under uncultured bacterium. RNAcentral's name for it is "partial 16S ribosomal RNA". It matches the Rfam family "Bacterial small subunit ribosomal RNA", at positions 28 to 507 of the family's 1533-position model. The record is from RNAcentral.